This 147-nucleotide non-coding RNA is filed under the name Karlodinium veneficum. Lineage: Eukaryota; Dinophyceae; Gymnodiniales; Kareniaceae. The record is from RNAcentral.
GAUCAUGCUGUGGAACGUCCGGUUUUGCAAGUGAAGUCAGCUGUGGAUGCAGAGGUUGCGGCAGCGAAGGGAAAGGGAAAAGGCAAGCCACCGCCACCUCCGCCUCCGAAGAAGAAGGAUGAAGGUGCGGCGUUAGAGGACACGCGU